AGGCUUGUAGCUCAGGUGGUUAGAGCGCACCCCUGAUAAGGGUGAGGUCGGUGGGUCAAGGCCACUCAGGCCUA
RNAcentral lists this transfer RNA (74 nucleotides) under Escherichia coli. Its description in RNAcentral is "tRNA-Ile". It matches the Rfam family "tRNA". From Rfam's summary of the family: Transfer RNA (tRNA) molecules are approximately 80 nucleotides in length. The record is from RNAcentral. Lineage: Bacteria; Pseudomonadati; Pseudomonadota; Gammaproteobacteria; Enterobacterales; Enterobacteriaceae.